GAAUAUUGAGUGUAACUGAAUGGGAAGCUUCUAAGAAGCUGGAGGUGGGGGUUAAAGUAAAUCUCUGAUUUUUUAAUAAGGAUACCUAAGCUAAAAUGAGAAUUGAAAAAAGGGGCAAAAUGCAAAAACUAGUUCCUAGGGGCUUCCCUAAUGCCUUACCUAUAAAGGCAUAUCUAUCUUCCAUUUCAAGAAAGUUUCAGAGAUAAAAAUACAAAAAAAUAAAAAGCGACUGAAAACACAAAAAGAAAAAAAAAACAAGACUGUUCCAGUGCAGUUUCUUCUAUAAUUUUGGAGACUUUUAACUUCUGAAGAUUUACUGAUUAAUCUGGUGUGGAAAUGGAUUAAGUUUUGGGUGUUUGAUGUUUGGUUUGAAGUCUCUUUGGUUAUUAUUCGAUUAAGACUGUCUUUUACUGCUUCGUAUCCAAUUUUCUGGUUUGCAUUAGUGUUACUGGUGCUGAAUUCUGCUAAGUAGUGCUGCUAAUUCUUCACUUUGUUCUUUGCUUUCAAUAUCCAAAUACUUAUUUUAAGACUUGCAAAAUGUGAAUCCAAACUUGAUGAAUGAAAUGGACAGAGAACCUUGAAGCAAUGCAUUAAAUUUGUUCAUUUUUUAUAGCUUAGCCGUAUUUUUGCUUUGUUCAUACAAUGUCACUCAUGUUUCCUUUGGAAAUCAUCAGAAUGCGUAGAGUAGUCCGAUCUCCCCUUCAUCAUGUUCACCCUUAAUUAUUUAGCUUUAAACGUGCUCUGUAAUAUUGGAUGGAUCAUGGACUUUAGCC
Molecule: long non-coding RNA, 773 nt
Filed under: Nicotiana benthamiana
Lineage: Eukaryota; Viridiplantae; Streptophyta; Magnoliopsida; Solanales; Solanaceae
Description: long non-coding RNA (NBEN_LNC005077)
Source: RNAcentral